RNAcentral lists this ribosomal RNA (245 nucleotides) under uncultured Bacillota bacterium. RNAcentral's name for it is "uncultured Firmicutes bacterium partial 16S ribosomal RNA". It matches the Rfam family "Bacterial small subunit ribosomal RNA", at positions 524 to 768 of the family's 1533-position model. The record is from RNAcentral. Lineage: Bacteria; Bacillati; Bacillota.
UACGUAGGGGGCGAGCGUUGUCCGGAAUGAUUGGGCGUAAAGGGCGCGUAGGCGGCCUGGUAAGUUAGGAGUGAAAGUCCUGUUUUCAAGAUGGGAAUUGCUUUUAAUACUGUCGGGCUGGAGUACAGGAGAGGAAAGCGGAAUUACCGGUGUAGCGGUGAAAUGCGUAGAGAUCGGUAGGAACACCAGUGGCGAAGGCGGCUUUCUGGACUGAAACUGACGCUGAGGCGCGAAAGCGUGGGGAG